This 440-nucleotide ribosomal RNA is filed under the name uncultured bacterium. RNAcentral describes it as "partial 16S ribosomal RNA". It matches the Rfam family "Bacterial small subunit ribosomal RNA", at positions 338 to 795 of the family's 1533-position model. The record is from RNAcentral.
CCUACGGGGGGCAGCAGUGGGGGAUAUUGCACAAUGGGGGGAACCCUGAUGCAGCGACGCCGCGUGGGUGAAGAAGCGCCUCGGCGCGUAAAGCCCUGUCAGCAGGGAAGAAAAUGACGGUACCUGAAGAAGAAGCCCCGGCUAACUACGUGCCAGCAGCCGCGGUAAUACGUAGGUGGCAAGCGUUGUCCGGAUUUACUGGGUGUAAAGGGCGUGUAGCCGGGAAGGCAAGUCAGAUGUGAAAUCUGGAGGCUCAACCUCCAAAUUGCAUUUGAAACUGUUUUUCUUGAGUACUGGAGAGGCAGACGGAAUUCCUUGUGUAGCGGUGAAAUGCGUAGAUAUAAGGAGGAACACCAGUGGCGAAGGCGGUCUGCUGGACAGCAACUGACGGUGAGGCGCGAAAGCGUGGGGAGCAAACAGGAUUAGAUACCCUUGUAGUC